Molecule: ribosomal RNA, 1213 nt
Filed under: Rhyzopertha dominica (lesser grain borer)
Lineage: Eukaryota; Metazoa; Arthropoda; Insecta; Coleoptera; Bostrichidae
Description: SSU rRNA
Rfam family: Eukaryotic small subunit ribosomal RNA
Source: RNAcentral
GAGAGGGAGCCUGAGAAACGGCUACCACAUCCAAGGAAGGCAGCAGGCGCGCAAAUUACCCACUCCCGGCACGGGGAGGUAGUGACGAAAAAUAACGAUACGGGACUCAUCCGAGGCCCCGUAAUCGGAAUGAGUACACUCUAAACCCUUUAACGAGGAUCAAUUGGAGGGCAAGUCUGGUGCCAGCCGCCGCGGUAAUUCCAGCUCCAAUAGCGUAUAUUAAAGUUGUUGCGGUUAAAAAGCUCGUAGUCGAAUCUGUGUCCCGCGCUGCCGGUUCAUCGCUCGCGGUGUCUGACUGGCGUGUUCGCGGGACGUCCUGCCGAUGGUGCCGUGCGGGGCGCCGGUGCGGCUUCGUCCCAGGUGGUCGUUGUCCGUGUCGUGCGUUUCCGUGCGGCCCAACUCUAAAAUCCCGCAUCGGUGCUCUUGACUGAGUGUCGAGGCGGGCCGGCACGUUUACUUUGAACAAAUUAGAGUGCUCAAAGCAGGCUAAAACUUCGCCUGAAUACAAGUGCAUGGAAUAAUGGAAUAGGACCUCGGUUCUAUUUUGUUGGUUUUCGGAACCCCGAGGUAAUGAUUAAUAGGAACGGAUGGGGGCAUUCGUAUUGCGACGUUAGAGGUGAAAUUCUUGGAUCGUCGCAAGACGGACAGAAGCGAAAGCAUUUGCCAAAAACGUUUUCAUUGAUCAAGAACGAAAGUUAGAGGCUCGAAGGCGAUCAGAUACCGCCCUAGUUCUAACCAUAAACGAUGCCAGCUAGCGAUCCGCCGACGUUCCUCCGAUGACUCGGCGGGCAGCUUCCGGGAAACCAAAGCUUUCGGGUUCCGGGGGAAGUAUGGUUGCAAAGCUGAAACUUAAAGGAAUUGACGGAAGGGCACCACCAGGAGUGGAGCCUGCGGCUUAAUUUGACUCAACACGGGAAACCUCACCAGGCCCGGACACCGGAAGGAUUGACAGAUUGAGAGCUCUUUCUUGAUUCGGUGGGUGAUGGUGCAUGGCCGUUCUUAGUUGGUGGAGCGAUUUGUCUGGUUAAUUCCGAUAACGAACGAGACUCUGGCCUGCUAACUAGGCGCAUUUUCGGCAUCUCGAAGGCCCGCCGGCCGGUCGCUCGCGGCUCGGUCCGGCGCGGUUUUUACUGCCGGCGUACAGUUCAUUCUUCUUAGAGGGACAGGCGGCAUCUAGCCGCACGAGAUUGAGCAAUAACAGGUCUGUGAUGCC